AGUGAACGCUGGCGGUAGGCCUAACACAUGCAAGUCGAACGGCAGCACAGUAAGAGCUUGCUCUUACGGGUGGCGAGUGGCGGACGGGUGAGGAAUACAUCGGAAUCUACUUUUUCGUGGGGGAUAACGUAGGGAAACUUACGCUAAUACCGCAUACGACCUACGGGUGAAAGCAGGGGAUCUUCGGACCUUGCGCGAUUGAAUGAGCCGAUGUCGGAUUAGCUAGUUGGCGGGGUAAAGGCCCACCAAGGCGACGAUCCGUAGCUGGUCUGAGAGGAUGAUCAGCCACACUGGAACUGAGACACGGUCCAGACUCCUACGGGAGGCAGCAGUGGGGAAUAUUGGACAAAGGGCGCAAGCCUGAUCCAGCCAUACCGCGUGGGUGAAGAAGGCCUUCGGGUUGUAAAGCCCUUUUAUUGGGAAAGAAAAGCAGCAGGUUAAUACCCCGCUGUUCUGACGGUACCCAAAGAAUAAGCACCGGCUAACUUCGUG
This 492-nucleotide ribosomal RNA is filed under the name uncultured bacterium. Its description in RNAcentral is "partial 16S ribosomal RNA". It matches the Rfam family "Bacterial small subunit ribosomal RNA", at positions 29 to 507 of the family's 1533-position model. The record is from RNAcentral.